This 1083-nucleotide ribosomal RNA is filed under the name uncultured bacterium. RNAcentral describes it as "bacterial SSU rRNA". It matches the Rfam family "Bacterial small subunit ribosomal RNA", at positions 304 to 1406 of the family's 1533-position model. The record is from RNAcentral.
ACGGCCACAUUGGGACUGAGAUACGGCCCAGACUCUUACGGGAGGCAGCAGUGGGGAAUAUUGGGCAAUGGGCGCAAGCCUGACCCAGCAACGCCGCGUGAAGGAAGAAGGCUUUCGGGUUGUAAACUUCUUUUGUCAGGGACGAGUAGAAGACGGUACCUGACGAAUAAGCCACGGCUAACUACGUGCCAGCAGCCGCGGUAAUACGUAGGUGGCAAGCGUUGUCCGGAUUUACUGGGUGUAAAGGGCGUGUAGCCGGGAGGGCAAGUCAGAUGUGAAAUCCACGGGCUCAACUCGUGAACUGCAUUUGAAACUACUCUUCUUGAGUAUCGGAGAGGCAAUCGGAAUUCCUAGUGUAGCGGUGAAAUGCGUAGAUAUUAGGAGGAACACCAGUGGCGAAGGCGGAUUGCUGGACGACAACUGACGGUGAGGCGCGAAAGCGUGGGGAGCAAACAAGAUUAGAUACCCUGGUAGUCCACGCUGUAAACGAUGAAUACUAGGUGUGCGGGGACUGACCCCCUGCGUGCCGCAGCUAACGCAAUAAGUAUUCCACCUGGGGAGUACGAUCGCAAGGUUGAAACUCAAAGGAAUUGACGGGGGCCCGCACAAGCGGUGGAUUAUGUGGUUUAAUUCGAAGCAACGCGAAGAACCUUACCAGGGCUUGACAUCCUACUAACGAAGUAGAGAUACAUCAGGUGCCCUUCGGGGAAAGUAGAGACAGGUGGUGCAUGGUUGUCGUCAGCUCGUGUCGUGAGAUGUUGGGUUAAGUCCCGCAACGAGCGCAACCCCUAUUGUUAGUUGCUACGCAAGAGCACUCUAGCGAGACUGCCGUUGACAAAACGGAGGAAGGUGGGGAGGACGUCAAAUCAUCAUGCCCCUUAUGUCUUGGGUUACACACGUAAUACAAUGGCGGUCAACAGAGGGAUGCAAAGCCGUAAGGUGGAGCGAACCCCUAAAAGCCGUCCCAGUUCAGAUUGUGGGCUGCAACCCGCCCACACGAAGUCGGAAUCGCUAGUAAUCGCGGAUCAGCAUGCCGCGGUGAAUAAAAUCCCGGGCCUUGCACUCUCCGCCCGUCAAGGGCGC